GAAGCUGCUCAGGAGGAGCACGAAAAUGUGGCAGAUAAUGAGAACAAUGAAAGUUUACAGUCCCCUCCUGAUGUUGAUGGUUUAUUAGUCCGCCUGCCACACCAACCUCGAAGUCCAAUUAAGAUCAUAUGGCCAAAUGGAGAGGUUAGACAGAUUAUAGGGGAAUUCACACUUUCAAAUUUACUAGCAUUACAAGGAGGAAAGGUAAUUGUAGAGACAGAUGAAAAUGGUGUCCCAAAUGAAAGGUCAGCCUCCAUUCUUGGGCAGCACCUUGGCCAUGUAGCAGAAAGCCCAACCUUAGCCCCUUUAGACAUCCCAAGAUUUGACAAUAGCAGGUUUAAUUCACACAAGGAACAAAUAAUAAAGGAUGUUGAGCUAAAGUUUGCCUUCCCAAGGCAAACCAUACAUCUUACAAGGGACUGGAUCCUAAGGACAGUUAAUAAUAGGUGGCGAGCGUACA
Molecule: long non-coding RNA, 460 nt
Organism: Zea mays
Lineage: Eukaryota; Viridiplantae; Streptophyta; Magnoliopsida; Poales; Poaceae
Exons: 3
Source: RefSeq, a predicted model, not a curated record